Molecule: small nuclear RNA, 18 nt
Filed under: Arabidopsis thaliana (thale cress)
Lineage: Eukaryota; Viridiplantae; Streptophyta; Magnoliopsida; Brassicales; Brassicaceae
Description: snRNA_09108
Source: RNAcentral
GCCAACUUGUAUCGUCUU